This 355-nucleotide long non-coding RNA is filed under the name Felis catus (domestic cat). RNAcentral describes it as "lncRNA (ENSFCAG00000052162.1)". The record is from RNAcentral. Lineage: Eukaryota; Metazoa; Chordata; Mammalia; Carnivora; Felidae.
UAGGGUGAGCAUUAACAUCCAUUUUGCUGCCUGUGGACCUUUCCACUUAUGCAGUUGUACAAGGAAAAUACUUCAAAGCUGUUUUAAUCCACGUGUGUUGAUUACCCUGGGCCCUGGUCUGAAGGAGCCUGUGACUGAAGUUCUCCCUGAAUCCAAGCGUUGAAGCAUUUUCCCCUCUGGCUGCUGUGGGCUGAGUGCUGGGAAACCUCAUGCAGCUUUUACCUUUCUCUCUCAGUUGAACAUCAAAUCAGUGUGUGGACUCUGACCCCAGAAAGAAGAGUUGAAAGAGAAAAACCAAAUAGGAUGUUCAGUGUGCUUGACAAUUUCCUGGAGCAAGAGUGAAGAGAACAGGAUC